UACGUAUGGUGCAAGCGUUAUCCGGAUUUACUGGGUGUAAAGGGAGCGCAGGCGGCACGGCAAGCCUGAUGUGAAAGCCCGCGGCCCAACCGCGGGACUGCAUUGGGAACUACCGGGCUGGAGUGCCGGAGAGGUAGGCGGAAUUCCUAGUGUAACGGUGAAAUGCGUAGAUAUUAGGAGGAACACCAGUGGCGAAGGCAGCCUACUGGACGGUGACUGACGCUGAGGCUCGAAAGCGUGGGGAGCAAACAGG
This 253-nucleotide ribosomal RNA is filed under the name uncultured bacterium. Its description in RNAcentral is "partial 16S ribosomal RNA". It matches the Rfam family "Bacterial small subunit ribosomal RNA", at positions 524 to 776 of the family's 1533-position model. The record is from RNAcentral.